Molecule: transfer RNA, 93 nt
Filed under: Anatilimnocola aggregata
Lineage: Bacteria; Pseudomonadati; Planctomycetota; Planctomycetia; Pirellulales; Pirellulaceae
Description: Planctomycetes bacterium ETA_A8 tRNA-Gly
Source: RNAcentral
GAGGUGGCUAGCCGAUAGGUGACGGUAGCCAUAGCCCGCAAGGUCUAUGGCCGAGCAGCAAUGCCUUGAAGGUUCGAGCCCUUUCCACUCCGC